CCUACGGGGGGCUGCAGUGGGGAAUAUUGCACAAUGGGCGCAAGCCUGAUGCAGCCAUGCCGCGUGUGUGAAGAAGGCCUUCGGGUUGUAAAGCACUUUCAGCGGGGAGGAAGGCGUUAAGGUUAAUAACCUUGUCGAUUGACGUUACCCGCAAAAGAAGCACCGGCUAACUCCGUGCCAGCAGCCGCGGUAAUACGGAGGGUGUAAGCGUUAAUCGGAAUUACUGGGCGUAAAGCGCACGCAGGCGGUCUGUCAAGUCGGAUGUGAAAUCCCCGGGCUCAACCUGGGAACUGCAUUCGAAACUUGCAGGCUAGAGUCUUGUAGAGGGGGGUAGAGUUCCAGGUGUAGCGGUGAAAUGCGUAGAGAUCUGGAGGAAUACCGGUGGCGAAGGCGGCCCCCUGGACAAAGACUGACGCUCAGGUGCGAGAGCGUGGGGAGCAGACAGGAUUAGAUACCCGGGUAGUC
This 465-nucleotide ribosomal RNA is filed under the name uncultured Klebsiella sp. RNAcentral describes it as "bacterial SSU rRNA". It matches the Rfam family "Bacterial small subunit ribosomal RNA", at positions 338 to 795 of the family's 1533-position model. The record is from RNAcentral. Lineage: Bacteria; Pseudomonadati; Pseudomonadota; Gammaproteobacteria; Enterobacterales; Enterobacteriaceae.